RNAcentral lists this long non-coding RNA (249 nucleotides) under Polistes fuscatus (common paper wasp). Its description in RNAcentral is "uncharacterized LOC122517405". Lineage: Eukaryota; Metazoa; Arthropoda; Insecta; Hymenoptera; Vespidae. The record is from RNAcentral.
AGUACAAUUUGUAAAUUACAAAGUAGUUGGUGUAACGGAAUAGAUGAUUGUCCUUACGGUGACGACGAAACAGCUGAGUUAUGUGUCGAUUUAAACGGAGAUUGGAGUUGGUUCUUUAAGCAGGAUAAACUUACAGAGAUGCAAAAUGACGAUUGUGUGAUCGAAGAUACUCCCGAAGGAUGCAUCUACAAUCAAUGUCGUGCGACUUGCAAAGAAUACGAAAAAAUUCCACAAAAUUUGUCACCAGAA